Molecule: ribosomal RNA, 443 nt
Filed under: uncultured bacterium
Lineage: Bacteria
Description: partial 16S ribosomal RNA
Rfam family: Bacterial small subunit ribosomal RNA
Source: RNAcentral
CCUACGGGAGGCUGCAGUGGGGAAUAUUGGGCCAUGGGCGCAAGCCUGACCCAGCAACGCCGCGUGAAGGCAGCAGGCUUUCGGGUUGUAAACUUCUUUUCUCAGGGACGAAGCAAGUGACGGUACCUGAGGAAUAAGCCACUGCUCACUACGUGCCAGCAGCCGCGGUAAUACGUAGGUGGCAAGCGUUAUCCGGCUUUACUGGGUGUAAAGGGCGUGUAGGCGGGACUGCAAGUCAGAUGUGAAAACCAUGGGCUCAACCUAUGGCCUGCAUUUGAAACUGUAGUUCUUGAGUACUGGAGAGGCAGACGGAAGUCCUAGUGUAGCGGUGAAAUGCGUAGAUAUUAGGAGGAACACCAGUGGCGAAGGCGGUCUGCUGGACAGCAACUGACGCUGAGGCGCGAAAGCGUGGGGAGCAAACAGGAUUAGAUACCCCUGUAGUC